GGCGUUUUUUGCAUUUUUCACACACAAACAAAUACUAACGCUAACUUUGGCCAGUGUUUGUGACCAAAUGGCUACUAAAAAAGACUGGACAUACCCCAUUUGCAAUACCUUGGGUUGUCUACUAUUGCAAAUGGUAUGCCAUUAUGGGUGUAAAUUUCAUUCCCGGGCUGCUAUACAGUCUCAAAGGCAACGUAACCAAUCUGGCGAAUUUCAAUUUCAAAUGUAACGUGCUAUAUUUGACCCUGUAACUUCCCAAAACGCCAUAAAACCUGUACAUAGGGGGUACUGUCUUACAUGUGAG
Molecule: non-coding RNA, 301 nt
Organism: Pelobates cultripes (western spadefoot toad)
Lineage: Eukaryota; Metazoa; Chordata; Amphibia; Anura; Pelobatidae
Source: the annotation of a GenBank genome assembly